Macadamia integrifolia is the source of this 631-nucleotide long non-coding RNA. RefSeq lists it as uncharacterized. The record is from RefSeq and is a predicted model, not a curated record. The transcript has 2 exons. Lineage: Eukaryota; Viridiplantae; Streptophyta; Magnoliopsida; Proteales; Proteaceae.
CGUUGGCCCUACGCUAUUGCAAGGCCACACUUCCCGACAGAGAAAUUCGACAAAACGUGUACGCCAUCGGUUUAUACAGCGAAUCUGCUGCGACGCUUUAAAAGCGGGAGGGCAAGAUUUUCGGAGGCUCUCAGUUAAAGCCAAUUUUCUCGCUCGCAAGUCACACAAGGAGGAAAACGUCAAAAUUUUAUGGACACCAAAGUACCUGACAAGGGGGUUUCUCAGGAGCUGACUCGUGAGUCGCUUAUUGCUAUCUCACAGUGCAUGCCGGAUACAGUUCUUGCUUCGAAGCACCCAUCUGAAUCAAACGGCACAAAUGCAGUUGAGUUGAAAGAGAGUGACGCAGCUGAGAAGUAUAGGUCUAAGCUGAUCUCUAUUUCCUACACAGAUACCGAAAACUCUCCAGCUGCAUUGGGGAACCUUGAGGUUUAGUUGGGAUUAUGGUUCUCUUUUGAUGGGAACUACUUGUAAUAUUAAACUUGUAUGGUUUGUUGUUUUCUAGAACUACUUGUGUCAAGUGGAUGGUGCUACCAUCAAUGUCUGGUUGAUGCUCUGUAUACUUCUUCUGAUGUCAACAUAAACAGGGAAAUAAAAGUUUGUUAAUCUAAUAGAGUGAUGGAUGUUGUGUUUA